GUGGAAGUGGGGAUCCAACGGAGAACAGAUGGCCACAGUGAUCUUGUUUUGGCCCAUGAUGAUGUAGAUGAUGAGGUUGAUGCUGCGGUGGUAGCAGCAGCAGAUGAUCCUAGCUCUUCGGCCAUUUUCGAUAUUGAGCUAGAUACCCGCAGGCGAAGCGAGUUCAUAUAAACUAUUUUGUCGCUUUUUGAUGCAAAAUG
This 200-nucleotide unclassified non-coding RNA is filed under the name Hevea brasiliensis (rubber tree). Lineage: Eukaryota; Viridiplantae; Streptophyta; Magnoliopsida; Malpighiales; Euphorbiaceae. The record is from RNAcentral.